CUGAAAAAUCCUUAAAGCAAGUAAAGGAAAAGUGUGGCCUUAGCGUCAAGGAAAAGUGUGGCCUUAGUGUAAAGGAAAAGUGUGGCCUUAGCAUCAAGGAAAAGUGUGGCCUUAGUGUAAAGGAAAAGUGUGGCCUUAGAGUGAAGGAAAAGUGUGGCCUUAGCAUAAAGGAAAAGUGUGGCCUUAGCAUAAAGGAAAAGUGUGGCCUUAGCAUGCACCUAGUGGAUGAACAACUUAUGUGUGGUGGAACUUGUUACGUUUUUUGGUACCCUCCAUGGUCCUGAUCCUGAAAUUGAUAGAAUGCAUAGAUGCACAACAGCAUUCCCGCUUGAUUCGUCAGGUCUGCACUACUUAGAGCAACAGUUGUGGUGCAGGCUCUCCUCCCAUAUUAAACCAUUAUUAUUUUUUUAUGCAAGCCAACCUGUUGUGGAGGAGAAACUGAAAAAUCCUAAAAGCAAGUAAAGGAAAAGUGUGGCCUUAGCGUCAAGGAAAAGUGUGGCCUUAGUGUAAAGGAAAAAUGUGCCCUUAGUGUAAAGGAAAAGUGUGGCCUUAGAGUGAAGAAAAAGUGUGGCCUUAGCAUCAAGGAAAAGUGUGGCCUUAGCAUCAAGGAAAAGUGUGGCAUUAGCAUCAAGGAAAAGUGUGGCCUUAGCAUCAAGGAAAAGUGUGGCCUUCGCAUCAAGGAAAAGUGUGGCCUUAGUGUAAAGGAAAAGUGUGGCCUUAGAGUGAAGGAAAAGUGUGGCCUUAGCAUAAAGGAAAAGGGUGGCCUUAGCAUCAAGGAAAAGUGGCCUUAUCGUAAAGGAAAAGUGUGGCCUUAGCAUGCACCUAGUGGAUGAACAACUUAUGUGUGGUGGAACUUGUUACGUUUUUUGGUACCCUCCAUGGACAAAAUGUGAUAAUUGAGAGGGAGACAUCAGUUGGAGUGACUUACUGCACACAUAUAGAUGAUGUCAUCUUCACACAUAUAGAUGAUGUCAUCACAUAUGAUAUUCCCGUGAAGAUAUUGGUGUUCCAGGUGAUGUGAUUAGGUGAUGUGAUUGGAGGUUGUUUGCAUGUAGACUUGUGGUUUAAUCAGCACUGACGCACAUGUAGACGUCGGAGACAUCGCAAGAUGUGGGAACCAGGGACACAGGAACAAAAAGUCAUUGUGGUGAGUCAUGUUAAGUGAAAUGGGUUUCAGAUACUGCCAGGAAGUAUUAGACGGAACAGAUUAAUUCUACCAUUCUGUUGUCCACAUUUGUGAUCAAUACACUAUGGUGUAAUGGAAUAUGUAGAAUGCAACGAACCGAAAUGGAUCAUCCGAUUAUUGACGACCUGGGCGUGGUUGAAACAGGUCAUAAUCAGGUGGUAUAUGGAGAAAGAACAACGCAGAACGAGGAGAGCAUGUACGACAUGUAUUUCAAUACUGGUGGUGACAUCCAAGUAUAGGGGAGCAGUCCUUGCAUGAACAUGAUAGCCGUUAGUUAUUAGGUUGCUAUAAAGAAUGAGGCCAGAUCAAUUCAAUUACUUAUUUUACAGAUUUUUAACCCAAAAAUAUCUAAAG
This is a long non-coding RNA of Haliotis rufescens (red abalone), 1540 nucleotides long. RefSeq lists it as uncharacterized. NCBI's taxonomy places the organism in Eukaryota, Metazoa, Mollusca, Gastropoda, Lepetellida, Haliotidae. The transcript is spliced from 2 exons. The record is from RefSeq and is a predicted model, not a curated record.